GGCCGCAUGGCGCAACGGUAGCGCGUCAGAUUCCAGUUCGAGAAUCCUGAAGGCUCUCUGUUCGAAUCAGGGUGUGGUCA
Molecule: non-coding RNA, 80 nt
Organism: Lophiostoma macrostomum CBS 122681
Lineage: Eukaryota; Fungi; Ascomycota; Dothideomycetes; Pleosporales; Lophiostomataceae
Source: the annotation of a GenBank genome assembly